UUGCCGGUGGAAGUCCGGUCCGGGUAGCUGCCAGGAGGCCCGGUAGCAGGCUGGCGGUGCCGUCUGGAAACGGGUGGUGCCGAAGCCCAGCGUCGAACGCCCUCGUGUGUGGGGUGUGCAACCGAACGGUCCGUAACGUGA
Non-coding RNA from Nocardia terpenica, 141 nucleotides. The record is from Rfam. Lineage: Bacteria; Bacillati; Actinomycetota; Actinomycetes; Mycobacteriales; Nocardiaceae.